AUGAAAACGAUGAAGAGGAUUAGUAAUCUUUGGUUAAGAUAACUCCAGAGAGCCGGGGGAGCUGAAAACCGGCGUUAUCACCAAGGAUGAACUCGCCUCCGAGUGCCUUUUCGAAAGCGGACAGCGAGUAGGAUUGGCCGGGUGCAUCCCAAUGCACUCGUUAGGAAAAGAACGGAUAUUCCGUUCAUGAGGUGAUCGAUUUGAUCACGAAGAAGGGUGGUACCGCGGGAAUUCAACCUUCUCGCCCCUUUG
This 252-nucleotide non-coding RNA is filed under the name Aeribacillus pallidus. RNAcentral describes it as "T-box sequence". It matches the Rfam family "T-box leader". From Rfam's summary of the family: Uncharged tRNA acts as the effector for transcription antitermination of genes in the T-box leader family. Lineage: Bacteria; Bacillati; Bacillota; Bacilli; Caryophanales; Bacillaceae. The record is from RNAcentral.